CAUCCAUUAAAUGCUUCAAGAAACGAGGAAGGGGAGUACGCCAUGUUAGUGAAGGACAUUUUGCUAGUAUCAUAUAUGACAUACCUCACUGGGAAAAUUACACUGGAGUGUAUAUAUUGGGAAUGCCAGCUACAUUCGCCCUAUCUCCACUUCUCCCUUAAACUUUUAAAUCUGUCCAUCAUAUACUUCCAUCUCCCUCUACACUUCCUCAUCUUUCCCUAGUGUGGAUGCAAUCUCUUUCCAAGAGUUGCUGCUUCUCUGGAAGUCCUUGUAAUCUUUCAAGGACGUGUCAAAAAGUUGCCGGUACUUUCGGACCUCUUCGCCUUGUCAAAGCUCAUCUCCAUCUCUCCUGUUCCAUUUCUCCAUGCGAGUUGAAUACAGCCAGUGUCAGUCUCACCAUGAACCACGUCACACCACAAAUCCUCCCAGCAUAAGAAUCCAGACAAACGUCUGCCUCGCUGACAUCUAAUGUGCAAAAAUCUCAUCAAUCAAUCGGAUCAGCGCUUUAAUCCUCUUCUGUCAGCAAACAAUGGAGUUAUUACUACACCUGCUGAGAUUAUGAUGUUGAUUCAAAUUACACUGAGAUAAGACGGCACUCGGUUCUUUCAAUCAAAGGUAUUACAGCUGCCUGGUCAACGCAGUGUGUCUGUCAUAAAACCAUAUGUUACAUUCUAUUUCUCUGAAUUCUGAGGAGAUUUAAGAGAAACCAAAGCAAUGAUGAUGUGAGGCUGGAUGGGUGAAUGUUUGUGAAUCGAACAUAUCCUUUUACUGUUAUUUGAAACUGCAUUAAAACAUGGACAACAC
This 804-nucleotide long non-coding RNA is filed under the name Gouania willdenowi (blunt-snouted clingfish). Its description in RNAcentral is "lncRNA (ENSGWIG00000024677.1)". Lineage: Eukaryota; Metazoa; Chordata; Actinopteri; Blenniiformes; Gobiesocidae. The record is from RNAcentral.